AAACUUUCACCCAAACACACUUUUAAUAUCAACUAUAAUGUAAAUCUAAUAAUAUUAAAAAUGGAUAAAUAUCGAAAUUACACAUAAACUUUGAUUCAAUAUGCAAUUAUACAUGAACUUUGUUUGAUGCAAUUAUACACAUGAAACUUUUUUUGGUGAAUAUUAUAAUAUAGGAAGUUGUUAAUUAGUUAUGAGUCUGGUAAGGUUGUUGAGAAGUUUAGACUAGUCAACAAAGUCUAUAAAUACUGUAAGUUGAGAAUUCAGAAGUAAGCAAUUUUGAAUACAAGAGAAAGAAAUUCAUUUUAUCCUCUCGUUUAUUUCUGUUUGGCUAGUUCUUUCAUGGCAUCAAUCGCCAUUUGAUUCUGGAUCUUGUCUAUCAUGGCUUCCGCUGAUUUCGUAACUGGUGAGUCUAGCUCUGCAGUGUUCUCCGGCGAUCGUGUCACGACCGGUCUUCCUCGGCAUGAAGUGGUUAAGCUUGAUGGAGGCACCUAUAUUCAAUGGCGCAAACAGAUCAAAUUAAUAGUGGAUGGAUAUGGACUUACAGGAUUCUUAGAUGGCACCGUUGUUCCACCGUCGCGGUUUAUGCCUCUGCCCGAUGGUUCGCGUGCUCCAAAUCCGGUAGCACAAGUGUUCCUACAGCAAGAUAGGCUUCUGACUUCAUGGCUGUUAUCAAUUGUAAGUACAUCUCUUCAAUCGUCAUUUGAUGAUGCAUCCACGGCGUGUGAUAUGUGGAACAUGGCGAUAAAUUUGUUUGCGGCUGACACUGGUGCAAAGCAGUCACGCAUUCGGCAUGAGCUUUAUUCUUUGAAGAAAGGUAACCUUUCCAUUAAAGCUUAUGUUGCUAAAAUUAAAGAUCUGUGUGCUAUGUUAGAUGCCUCUGGUUCUCGUCUCUCUGAUGAAGAGAUGAUUGAGGUGAUGCUCGCGGGAUUACCGUCAGAGUUUGAGGCGGUUAUCUCCUCCGCUAGGCUGUCGACAGGUGUUCUGUCGUUACAACGUGUGGUCGAUGCUCUAGUUGAUUGUGAGAGCCGUCAAGCUCAGGUGUUGCAGGAGGUAAGUUUGAAUGCAAAUCUGGUUGAGGAUGCGCCGUCGGUUGAAGGAGGAAAUCGUGGCGACCGUACGUCUGUUCGUGGCCGUGGCAGGACCUUCCGAUCUCGCAUUCAAUGCCAGAUCUGCAGUCGUUUUGGUCAUGUAGCUCAGAAGUGCUACUAUCGUUAUCAUAGAGAGUCGAAUAAUCAAGGGGAUCCGUCGGGUGUUGAGAGAGCCGCAUUUGGACCAUGUGCGCAAGAAGAAGAUGAGCAGUAUGUGGCUCCUUAUCCCAAAAGCCAAAGAACAAUUUAUGGAGAAGGGAACUAUGCAAGUCAAAAUAGGAAUGGUGGUCAAAAUUGGAGUGCUAGCAUGCAGAGUGAAAAUUUAGCACGUGGGCCACAGGUGUCAUAUCCAAAAGAGUAUGGCCGGCCAUAUGGAAAUCAUUUUAAGCCAAAUUUGCGUCAGUUUGGACAUGAUAAUAGGCCUGGUUUUAAUGGCGAUGGGACUAAUGGAAAUGCCUCAUUGAAUUUUAUUGCUGGAAAUGGACGGUGUGGGUUGCAAGGGCCGAAUGUGGUAAAUUCCACUCAUGGGCCGAAUAUUGACCCAAAUGCAAAUGGGGUUCCAUCGUCUAAUUUUGUUCAAGUUGAUCAAAGUGAUCCCGGCUCACCUAAACCGUUUGGCGUUGAUAGAGUUUUACGAUUUACCAAACCGCGUGCUCGGGUUUGUACUGGGUUCGAACCAUGUAUUGGGCUUCCUCGGCUAGGGGACUUACAUGCAUCUGAUUAUUCUGAUCCUUCAGAAUCUGGCUCUCAUGUCCAUACUGCUCAACUUGGGUUUGGUACUAGUAAAGAUGACCCAUACGUUCCAGUGCAAGGUGGCACCACAACUUGGUAUCCUGAUUCGGGAGCUAGUCAUCAUGUCUGUCGUGAUGUGUCAGCUUUACGUGAUGUCAUGCCAUAUUCAGGUACGUCAUCUCUUUUAAUGGGUGAUGGUACUCCUGCGGUAAUUUCGUCAAUUGGUACUGCUAUUUUACAUACUCAAUAUAAGUCGUUGCGAUUAUCAAAUGUCUUAUGUGUGCCAAGUAUACGGAAAAACCUCUUAUCCGUCUCACAGUUUGCUCGUGAUAAUGGUGUGUUUUUUGAGUUUCAUCCUAACCAUUAUGUUAUUAAGGAUACGGUGACUCGAGAGACAUUGCUGACGGGCCGCAUUCAUGAUGGACUUUAUCACUUUUCUGUGCCAGUGGGUUCUACUCCAUCUACGGUUGCUCCAUUUGUUGCUCAUUCGCAAGUUCCACAUGUAGUUUCAAAUAAUAAUGUGUUUGCUUUAUGGCAUAAUCGUUUAGGCCACCCAUCAACUUCUGUGGUCAAAACAGUUUUAAAUAAAUGUAAUGUUGCUUUAAGUAAAAAUAGUUUGGAUGGUAUAUGUACUGCAUGUCAAAAAGGCAGGUCACAUAAGUUGCCCUUCUCCCCUUCGACUACUAGCUACCGUCCUUUUGAGUUGGUUGUUUCUGAUCUUUGGGGUCCUGCACCUGUUGCAUGUGGUGAUAAAAGAUAUUAUGUUUCGUUUAUUGAUAUGUGUACUCGGUUUACUUGGGUUUAACUUUUACGUCAAAAAGCUCAAGUACUAGAAUGCUUUACUCAGUUUCAACAGUUAAUUAAGACAUAGUUUGGCAAGUCUAUUAAGCAGUUCCAGAGCGAUUGGGGAGGAGAAUACCGUGGUUUUACGUCUGUCUUAGAAUCUCAAGGAAUCAUACAUCGACUAACGUGUCCGUAUACUUCAGAACAAAAUGGAGUGGCUGAGCGUAAGCAUCGCCACAUUGUUGAAGUGGGUAUUACAUUGUUGGCUCACGCAAGUUUGCCUCUGGAAUACUGGGGGUAUGCGUUUUGCUGUGCAAUUCAUAUUAUAAAUCGACUUCCUACUGUUGUACUUCAAGACAGUUCUCCGUUUAAGGCACUAUAUGAACAUGAUCCGACCUAUGACCAUCUUCGAGUGUUUGGCUGCUGUUGUUAUCCUUACUUACGUCCGUUUGUAAGGAAUAAAUUGGACUUUCGGUCUCAGCCGUCUACAUUGUUGGGAUACAGUCCUCGUCACAAGGGGUAUCAAUGUCUUUUACCAGAUGGUAAGGUUAUAAUAUCAAGGCAUGUGGUAUUUGAUGAACAGAGAUUUCUGUUUGCUGAGACUAUUCCAGACAAGUCUAUGUUGACGACCACUCAGACUAGUUCGACUGUUGUUCCUCUCGUGUGGCUGUCUUAUUCCUCAACUCUUGAGCCUUGCAUGAUGACACAGUCUUUACAAGGGUUACAAUCUCUGUCUGCUGAUCCUGCAUUAGGUGUUAAUUUAGAGCAGUCUCAGUCUCGUGAUUCUUCAGCUGAUGUCGGGACUGGGUCGGGUAAUCUCCCAGUUCAUGGUUCGUCAGCUAAUGAUGGGACUGAAUUGAGUGAUCCUCCAGCAGUGCAUGGCUCGGGAUCAUCAAGUGAUAAUUCUCAUUCUACUAUGAGAAUGUCUGCAGGUGUUUCAUCGGCAUCUGAUAGUCAGAUUAGUAGGCCACCUAUGGGUAAUACUCACCCAAUGGUCACUCGAGCUAAAGCGGGGGUUUACAAGCCUAAGGUUUUAAAUGUUGAAGCUGUUGAACCGACUACGAUUGAAGAAGCUCUGGCUACUGUUGAGUGGCGCGAUGCUGCGCAAGCUGAGUAUGAUGCUCUUAUGCGUAAUUCCACAUGGGAGCUUGUUCCCACUCCGUCUAAUCGUAAGAUCAUUGGGUGCAAAUGGUUGUUCAGAAUCAAGAAGAAUUCUGAUGGUACUAUUGCUCGACAUAAGGCUCGUUUAGUCGCGAAAGGAUGCUCCCAAGUUCCAGGUUGUGACUUUAAGGAAACAUUUAGUCCAGUGGUCAAACCGGCUACUAUCAAAGUUAUUUUCGCUAUUGCUGUGUCUAAGGGGUGGUUGCUUCGGCAAGUUGAUGUGAAUAAUGCGUUUCUAAAUGGCGAUCUGGACACUGAAGUUUUUAUGCAUCAACCUCCUAGUUAUGUUCAAUAUGACUCACAUGGUAGACCUUUGAUGUGUCGUCUGAAGAAAGCGUUGUAUGGUCUUCGUCAGGCUCCUCGUGCCUGGUUUGAAAAGUUAAAAGGAUUUCUACUCUCUGUGGGGUUUGUGGUAUCCAAGUCUGAUGCUUCUUUGUUUGUUCGAGUGGUAUCAGCUUCAACAUUGUAUGUUCUGGUAUACGUUGAUGAUAUCAUUAUUACUGGUGAUGUGCCUUUUGUUAUAGAGUGGUUUGUUAAGUUGCUGAAUAAUAAGUUCUCACUUAAGGACAUGGGUGAUCUCCAUUAUUUUCUUGGGAUAGAGGUUACUUGUUCUUCCUCCAGUUGUCUUCAUCUAUGUUAGAAGAAGUAUAUUCGUGAUAUUCUCAUGAGGUGCUCGAUGGAAAAUGCGAAGAAUGUUCACACUCCGAUGAUUAGUUCCUCUAUCUUAACUAGAGAUGGUGGGGAACGUUUGGAGGAUCCAACUGAAUAUAGGAGUCUUGCAGGAGCAUUACAGUAUGUUACUCUUACGCGGCCUGAUGUUGCGUAUGCUGUAAAUUGAAUAUGUCAGUUUAUGCAUUGUCCCACUUCCAUACAUAUGACCGCUCUGAAGCAGAUUUUGAGGUAUCUAGGUGGAACGAUUGAUUUUGGGAUUGUAUUUCGUCCGUCUACCUGUUUGUCAUUAGUUGGGUAUGCUGAUGCAAACUGGGGUUUAGAUUUUGAUGACCGGAGAUCUACUACUGGAUACUGUGUGUAUUUUGGACAUUCUCCUGUCUCGUGGUGUACGAAAAAACAACAGGUUGUUGCUCGGUCUACUGCUGAGGCAGAGUACCGAAGUCUUGCUGCAGUUACUAGUGAGGUUACGUGGCUUUUAUCGUUACUUCAAGAGUUGCAUGUUCAGUCUACUAGCAUUCCUGAUAUUUGGUGUGAUAGUUCUGGGGCGGUUGCAGUUGCUGCUAAUCCUGUUCUUCAUUCCAAGUUUAAGCACGUUGAGUUAGAUUUAUUUUUUGUUCGUGAAAAAGUAGCUAAUGGUAUUAUUGCUGUUGGCGAGGUUCCAGCUUGUGAUCAAGUUGCUGAUGUUCUUACUAAACCGCUUUCACUUUCGAAUUUUACUCGAUUUCGGAGUUUUCUACAGGUGUUACCUGUGGAUAAGAUGGAUGAAUAUUAGAAUAUAGGAAGUUGUUAAUUAGUUAUGAGUCUGGUAAGGUUGUUGAGAAGUUUAGACUAGUCAACAAAGUCUAUAAAUACUGUAAGUUGAGAAUUCAGAAGUAAGCAAUUUUGAAUACAAGAGAAAGAAAUUCAUUUUAUCCUCUCGUUUAUUUCUGUUUGGCUAGUUCUUUC
Molecule: long non-coding RNA, 5381 nt
Filed under: Gossypium barbadense (sea-island cotton)
Lineage: Eukaryota; Viridiplantae; Streptophyta; Magnoliopsida; Malvales; Malvaceae
Description: long non-coding RNA (GBAR_LNC018550)
Source: RNAcentral